This is a non-coding RNA of Oryza glaberrima (African rice), 200 nucleotides long. Lineage: Eukaryota; Viridiplantae; Streptophyta; Magnoliopsida; Poales; Poaceae. The record is from Rfam.
CUCCGGCCCAAUUGUGGAUUUUCGUAUCCAAUGUUUGACUGUCGGUUUUAUUUAAAGAAAUUAUGAUUGGUAUUUUAAUUGUUAUUAGAUGAUAAAACAUAAAUAGUAUUUUACGUGACUAUUUUUUAAUCCUUUUAGAAAAUUUUUAAAUAAGAUGAAGAGUCAAACAUUGAACACGGAAACUCACCGCUAUAAUUACA